GACUCGAUGGCGGACGGUCCGCGCCUGCUCCUCGUGGGUCUGUGGGUUUAGUCCUAGCAGGAGGCUGGUUCAAUUCCGGCUCGAGUCA
Molecule: non-coding RNA, 88 nt
Organism: Mycena rosella
Lineage: Eukaryota; Fungi; Basidiomycota; Agaricomycetes; Agaricales; Mycenaceae
Source: the annotation of a GenBank genome assembly